CCCCACUGCUAUCGGGAUAGGACUAAGACAUGCUAGUCGAGUGAUUCAGGCAAAACGAGUCACGGCACACAGCUCAGUAACACGUGGCUAAUCUGCCCUUAGGACGAGAACAACCCCGGGAAACUGGGGCUAACUCUCGAUAGGCGAAGAACUCUGGAAUGAGUCUUUACCUAAACAGUGCAACGUUAUCCUCGUUGCAUCGCCUAAGGAUGAGGCCGCGACCGAUCAGGUUGUUGGCGAGGUAAUGGCUCACCAAGCCUUUUACCGGUGCGGGCCGUGAGAGCGGGAGCCCGGAGAUGGGCACUGAGACAAGGGCCCAGGCCCUACGGGGCGCAGCAGUCGCGAAAACUUUGCAAUAAGCGAAAGCUUGACAGGGCUAUCCCGAGUGCCAUCCGCUGAGGAAGGCUUUUACCCAGUCUAGAACGCUGGGGGAAUAAGGAGAGGGCAAGUCUGGUGUCAGCCGCCGCGGUAAUACCAGCUCUCCGAGUGGUGUGGAUGUUUGUUGGGCCUAAAGCAUCCGUAGCUGGCUAGGUCAGUCCCUUGUUAAAUCCACCGAAUUAAUCGUUGGAUUGCGGGGGAUACUGCUUGGCUAGGGGACGAGAGAGGCAGACGGUAUUUUCGGGGUAGGGGUGAAAUCCUAUAAUCCCGGGAAGACCACCAGUGGCGAAGGCUGUCUGCUAGAGCGCGCCCGACGGUGAGGGAUGAAAGCUGGGGGAGCGAACCGGAUUAGAUACCCGGGUAGUCCCAGCUGUAAACGAUGCAGACUAGGUGUUUGGACGGCCACGUGCCGUUCUAGUGCCGCAGGGAAGCUGUUAAGUCUGCCGCCUGGGGAGUACGAUCGCAAGAUUGAAACUUAAAGGAAUUGGCGGGGGAGCACCACAAGGGGUGAAGCUUGCGGUUU
This 901-nucleotide ribosomal RNA is filed under the name uncultured archaeon. RNAcentral describes it as "bacterial SSU rRNA". It matches the Rfam family "Archaeal small subunit ribosomal RNA", at positions 21 to 903 of the family's 1478-position model. The record is from RNAcentral.